RNAcentral lists this ribosomal RNA (450 nucleotides) under uncultured Bacteroidota bacterium. Its description in RNAcentral is "bacterial SSU rRNA". It matches the Rfam family "Bacterial small subunit ribosomal RNA", at positions 415 to 867 of the family's 1533-position model. The record is from RNAcentral. Lineage: Bacteria; Pseudomonadati; Bacteroidota.
CCUAUGGGUUGUAAACUGCUUUUAUACGGGAAGAAACCCGGGUACGUGUACCCGGCUGACGGUCCGUAAGAAUAAGGACCGGCUAACUCCGUGCCAGCAGCCGCGGUAAUACGGAGGGUCCGAGCGUUAUCCGGAAUCAUUGGGUUUAAAGGGUCCGUAGGCGGACCUAUAAGUCAGAGGUGAAAGGCCACGGCUCAACCGUGGGACUGCCUUUGAUACUGUAGGUCUUGAGUUAUAGUGGGGUUGCCGGAACAUGUGGUGUAGCGGUGAAAUGCAUAGAUAUCACAUAGAACACCGAUCGCGAAGGCAGGUGGCCAACUAUAUACUGACGCUGAUGGACGAAAGCGUGGGGAGCGAACGGGAUUAGAUACCCCGGUAGUCCACGCCGUAAACGAUGGAUACUAGCUGUGGGGACUUCGGUCUCCGUGGCCAAGCGAAAGUGAUAAGUAU